AUUGAACGCUGGCGGCAGGCCUAACACAUGCAAGUCGAGCGGAUGAAGGGAGCUUGCUCCUGGAUUCAGCGGCGGACGGGUGAGUAAUGCCUAGGAAUCUGCCUGGUAGUGGGGGAUAACGUCCGGAAACGGGCGCUAAUACCGCAUACGUCCUGAGGGAGAAAGUGGGGGAUCUUCGGACCUCACGCUAUCAGAUGAGCCUAGGUCGGAUUAGCUAGUUGGUGGGGUAAAGGCCUACCAAGGCGACGAUCCGUAACUAGUCUGAGAGGAUGAUCAGUCACACUGGAACUGAGACACGGUCCAGACUCCUACGGGAGGCAGCAGUGGGGAAUAUUGGACAAUGGGCGAAAGCCUGAUCCAGCCAUGCCGCGUGUGUGAAGAAGGUCUGCGGAUUGUAAAGCACUUUAAGUUGGGAGGAAGGGCAGUAAGUUAAUACCUGGCUGUUUGGACGUUACCAACAGAAUAAGCACCGGCUAACUUCGU
Molecule: ribosomal RNA, 483 nt
Filed under: uncultured bacterium
Lineage: Bacteria
Description: partial 16S ribosomal RNA
Rfam family: Bacterial small subunit ribosomal RNA
Source: RNAcentral